CACGAAGUGAGUGGCGAACGGGUGAGUAACACGUGGGUAACCUGCCCAGAAGUAGGGGAUAACACCUGGAAACAGAUGCUAAUACCGUAUAACAGAGAAAACCGCAUGGUUUUCUUUUAAAAGAUGGCUCUGCUAUCACUUCUGGAUGGACCCGCGGCGUAUUAGCUAGUUGGUGAGGUAAAGGCUCACCAAGGCAGUGAUACGUAGCCGACCUGAGAGGGUAAUCGGCCACAUUGGGACUGAGACACGGCCCAGACUCCUACGGGAGGCAGCAGUAGGGAAUCUUCCACAAUGGACGCAAGUCUGAUGGAGCAACGCCGCGUGAGUGAAGAAGGGUUUCGGCUCGUAAAGCUCUGUUGUUAAAGAAGAACGUGGGUAAGAGUAACUGUUUACCCAGUGACGGUAUUUAACCAGAAAGCCACGGCUAACUACGUGCCAGCAGCCGCGGUAAUACGUAGGUGGCAAGCGUUAUCCGGAUUUAUUGGGCGUAAAGCGAGCGCAGGCGGUCUUUUAAGUCUAAUGUGAAAGCCUUCGGCUCAACCGAAGAAGUGCAUUGGAAACUGGGAGACUUGAGUGCAGAAGAGGACAGUGGAACUCCAUGUGUAGCGGUGAAAUGCGUAGAUAUAUGGAAGAACACCAGUGGCGAAGGCGGCUGUCUGGUCUGCAACUGACGCUGAGGCUCGAAAGCAUGGGUAGCGAACAGGAUUAGAUACCCUGGUAGUCCAUGCCGUAAACGAUGAUUACUAAGUGUUGGAGGGUUUCCGCCCUUCAGUGCUGCAGCUAACGCAUUAAGUAAUCCGCCUGGGGAGUACGACCGCAAGGUUGAAACUCAAAAGAAUUGACGGGGGCCCGCACAAGCGGUGGAGCAUGUGGUUUAAUUCGAAGCUACGCGAAGAACCUUACCAGGUCUUGACAUCUUCUGACAGUCUAAGAGAUUAGAGGUUCCCUUCGGGGACAGAAUGACAGGUGGUGCAUGGUUGUCGUCAGCUCGUGUCGUGAGAUGUUGGGUUAAGUCCCGCAACGAGCGCAACCCUUAUUACUAGUUGCCAGCAUUAAGUUGGGCACUCUAGUGAGACUGCCGGUGACAAACCGGAGGAAGGUGGGGACGACGUCAAAUCAUCAUGCCCCUUAUGACCUGGGCUACACACGUGCUACAAUGGAUGGUACAACGAGUCGCGAGACCGCGAGGUUAAGCUAAUCUCUUAAAACCAUUCUCAGUUCGGACUGUAGGCUGCAACUCGCCUACACGAAGUCGGAAUCGCUAGUAAUCGCGGAUCAGCAUGCCGCGGUGAAUACGUUCCCGGGCCUUGUACACACCGCCCGUCACACCAUGAGAGUUUGUAACACCCAAAGCCGGUGGGGUAACC
This 1367-nucleotide ribosomal RNA is filed under the name Pediococcus pentosaceus. Its description in RNAcentral is "bacterial SSU rRNA". It matches the Rfam family "Bacterial small subunit ribosomal RNA", at positions 85 to 1440 of the family's 1533-position model. Lineage: Bacteria; Bacillati; Bacillota; Bacilli; Lactobacillales; Lactobacillaceae. The record is from RNAcentral.